This 351-nucleotide ribosomal RNA is filed under the name uncultured bacterium. Its description in RNAcentral is "bacterial SSU rRNA". It matches the Rfam family "Bacterial small subunit ribosomal RNA", at positions 8 to 350 of the family's 1533-position model. The record is from RNAcentral.
AGAGUUUGAUCAUGGCUCAGGAUGAACGCUAGCUACAGGCUUAACACAUGCAAGUCGAGGGGAAACGACAUCGAAAGCUUGCUUUUGAUGGGCGUCGACCGGCGCACGGGUGAGUAACGCGUAUCCAACCUGCCCACCACUUGGGGAUAACCUUGCGAAAGUAAGACUAAUACCCAAUGACGUCUCUAGAAGACAUCUGAAAGAGAUUAAAGAUUUAUCGGUGAUGGAUGGGGAUGCGUCUGAUUAGCUUUGUUGGCGGGGUAACGGCCCGCCAAGGCUACGGAUCAGUAGGGGUUCUGAGAGGAAGGUCCCCANAUUGGAACUGAGCACGGUCCAAUCCUACGGGAGGCA